GACGAACGCUGGCGGCGUGCCUAAUACAUGCAAGUCGAGCGCUGAAGGUUGGUACUUGUACCUACUGGGUGAGCAGCGGACGGGUGAGUCACGCGUGGGGAAUCUGCCUUUGAGCGGGGGACAACAUUUGGAAACGUAUGCUAACACCGCAUAAAAACUUUAAACACAAGGUUUAAGUUUGAAAGAUGCAAUUGCAUCACUCAAAGAUGAUCCCGCGUUGUAUUAGCUAGGUGGUGAGGUAAAGGCUCAACAAUGCGUUGAUACAUAGCCGACCUGAGAGGGUGAUCGGCCAACAUGGGAACUGGACACGGCCCAAACCCCCACGGGAGGGAGCAGUAGGGAAACUUCGGCAAUGGACGGAAUGCUUACCGAGCAACGCCGCGGGAGUGAAGAAGGGUUUCGGGUCGGUAAACUCUGUUUGUAGGGAAGAACGGUGGUGUGGGUGGAAAGCUCAGCAAGUGACGGUAACGACACAGAAAGCAACGGCUAACUACGUG
RNAcentral lists this ribosomal RNA (497 nucleotides) under uncultured bacterium. Its description in RNAcentral is "partial 16S ribosomal RNA". It matches the Rfam family "Bacterial small subunit ribosomal RNA", at positions 28 to 507 of the family's 1533-position model. The record is from RNAcentral.